This 208-nucleotide ribosomal RNA is filed under the name uncultured bacterium. Its description in RNAcentral is "partial 16S ribosomal RNA". It matches the Rfam family "Bacterial small subunit ribosomal RNA", at positions 307 to 526 of the family's 1533-position model. The record is from RNAcentral.
GCCUCCCUCCGCGCCAUCAGACUCCUACGGGGCAGCAGUAAGGAAUAUUGGUCAAUGGACGCAAGUCUGAACCAGCCAUGCCGCGUGAAGGAUGAAGGCCUUCUGGGUUGUAAACUUCUUUUACCUGGGAAGAACCCUUAUUCUAUGAGGUUGACGGUACCAGAGGAAUAAGCACCGGCUAACUCCGUGCCAGCAGCCGCGGUAAUAC